AACGAACGCUGGCGGCAUGCCUAAUACAUGCAAGUCGAACGAGAUCUUCGGAUCUAGUGGCGCACGGGUGCGUAACGCGGGGGAAUCUGCCCUUGGGUUCGGAAUAACUUCUGGAAACGGAAGCUAAUACCGGAUGAUGACGUACGUCCAAAGAUUUAUCGCCCAAGGAUGAGCCCGCGUAGGAUUAGGUAGUUGGUGAGGUAAAGGCUCACCAAGCCGACGAUCCUUAGCUGGUCUGAGAGGAUGAUCAGCCACACUGGGACUGAGACACGGCCCAGACUCCUACGGGAGGCAGCAGUAGGGAAUAUUGGACGAUGGGCGAAAGCCUGAUCCAGCAAUGCCGCGUGAGUGAUGAAGGCCUUAGGGUUGUAAAGCUCUUUUACCCGGGAUGAUAAUGACAGUACCGGGAGAAUAAGCUCCGGCUAACUCCGUG
This 433-nucleotide ribosomal RNA is filed under the name uncultured bacterium. Its description in RNAcentral is "partial 16S ribosomal RNA". It matches the Rfam family "Bacterial small subunit ribosomal RNA", at positions 29 to 507 of the family's 1533-position model. The record is from RNAcentral.